This 300-nucleotide long non-coding RNA is filed under the name Malus domestica (apple). Its description in RNAcentral is "long non-coding RNA (MDOM_LNC010787)". The record is from RNAcentral. Lineage: Eukaryota; Viridiplantae; Streptophyta; Magnoliopsida; Rosales; Rosaceae.
CACAUCAUUGAUGACAGUUAACGAAGUUAAUGAGUGCCACUGUAGACAUCGAAAUUUUGGUAAAUAAAUGUUGACUGAUAAAUCAAAGUUUCAACGCUCAUGUAUUACAUAAAUUUUACACGUAGCGUGUGACUCGACAAAAAAUUGAAAUGAGUCGGAAAAGUCAUCAAACAGGACACGUGUCAACACCUGGCAAAAACGAUUUAUUUCAUCUGAAUAAUAUAUUCAAAAUUAGGCUUUGGAAAAUUCUAUAAAUAGAAGCCAUUUCAUUCAUUUUAGGGGGAACCAAUUCAUAACCAA